GGGAAAUCGCUAAGUUGGUUAGAGUCCUGGUCCGUCACGCCAGAAGUCGCGGGUUCGAACCCC
This 63-nucleotide transfer RNA is filed under the name Vitis vinifera (wine grape). RNAcentral's name for it is "transfer RNA-Asp (GUC)". RNAcentral also lists the same sequence under 1 other name. Lineage: Eukaryota; Viridiplantae; Streptophyta; Magnoliopsida; Vitales; Vitaceae. The record is from RNAcentral.